This 202-nucleotide ribosomal RNA is filed under the name Bisbaumannia pacifica. RNAcentral describes it as "Halomonas pacifica partial 16S ribosomal RNA". It matches the Rfam family "Bacterial small subunit ribosomal RNA", at positions 1329 to 1532 of the family's 1533-position model. RNAcentral also lists the same sequence under 7 other names. The record is from RNAcentral. Lineage: Bacteria; Pseudomonadati; Pseudomonadota; Gammaproteobacteria; Oceanospirillales; Halomonadaceae.
GAAUCGCUAGUAAUCGUGGAUCAGAAUGUCACGGUGAAUACGUUCCCGGGCCUUGUACACACCGCCCGUCACACCAUGGGAGUGGACUGCACCAGAAGUGGUUAGCCUAACUUCGGAGGGCGAUCACCACGGUGUGGUUCAUGACUGGGGUGAAGUCGUAACAAGGUAGCCGUAGGGGAACCUGCGGCUGGAUCACCUCCUU